UCAUUAGCCAGGUCAGCAGUUUUAUUAACUAGGAGGUUAGCGGAGUCAUUAACCAGGAGGUUAGUGGAGUCAUUAACCAGGUCAGCAGUGUUAUUAACCAGGAGGUUAGCGGAGUCAUUAACCAGGUCAGCAGUGUUAUUAACCAGGAGGUUAGCGGAGUCAUUAGCCAGGAGGUUAGCGGAGUCAUUAACCAGGAGGUUAGCGGCGUCAUUAACCAGGUCAGCAGUGUUAUUAACCAGGAGAUUAGUGGAGUCAUUAACCAGGAGGUUAGUGGAGUCAUUAACCAGGUCAGCAGUGUUAUAAACUCGGAGGUUAGCGGAGUCAUUAACCAGGAGGUUAGUGGAGUCAUUAACCAGGAGAUUAGUGGAGUCAUUAACCAGGAGGUUAGUGGAGUCAUUAACCAGGUCAGCAGUGUUAUAAACUCGGAGGUUAGCGGCGUCAUUAACCAGGUCAGCAGUGUUAUUAACCAGGAGGUAAGCGGAGUCAUUAACCAGGAGGUUAGCGGAGUCAUUAACCAGGUCAGCAGUGUUAUUAACCAGGAGGUUAGCGGAGUCAUUAACCAGGUCAGCAGUUUUAUUAACCAGGAGGUUAGCAGAGUCAUUAACCAGGUCAGCAGUGUUCUUAACCAGAUCAGCAGUGUUCUUAACCAGGUCAGCAGUGUUAUUAACCAGAUCAGCAGUGUUAUUAACCAGAUCAAGAGUGUUCUUAACCAGGUCAGCAGUGUUAUUAACCAGAUCAACAGUGUUAUUAACCAGGUCAACAGUGUUCUUAACCAGAUCAACAGUGUUAUUAACCAGGUCAACAGUGUUAUUUACCAGAUCAGCAGUGUUAUUAACCAGAUCAACAGUGUU
This is a long non-coding RNA of Melanotaenia boesemani (Boeseman's rainbowfish), 851 nucleotides long. RefSeq lists it as uncharacterized. The record is from RefSeq and is a predicted model, not a curated record. Lineage: Eukaryota; Metazoa; Chordata; Actinopteri; Atheriniformes; Melanotaeniidae. The transcript is spliced from 4 exons.